RNAcentral lists this ribosomal RNA (406 nucleotides) under uncultured bacterium. RNAcentral's name for it is "partial 16S ribosomal RNA". It matches the Rfam family "Bacterial small subunit ribosomal RNA", at positions 29 to 526 of the family's 1533-position model. The record is from RNAcentral.
AUUGAACGCUGGCGGCAGGCCUAACACAUGCAAGUCGAGCGAGGGGCGGACGGGGGAGUAAUGUCUGGGGAUCUGCCCGGUGGAGGGGGAUAACUACUGGAAACGGUGGCUAAUACCGCAUCCUAUCGGAUGGACCCAUAUGGGAUUGGCUAGUAGGUGGGGUAAAGGCUCACCUAGGCGACGAGCCCUAGCUGGUCUGAGAGGCUGAUCGGCCGCACUGGGACUGGAACACGGACCAGACGCCUACGGGAGGGAGCAGUGGGGAAUAUUGCACAAUGGGCGCAAGCCUGAUGCAGCCAUGCCGCGUGUAUGAAGAAGGCCUUGGGUUUGUAAAGUACUUUCAGCGGUGAGGCGUUACCCGCAGAAGAAGCACCGGCUAACUCCGUGCCAGCAGCCGCGGUAAUUC